Poecilia latipinna (sailfin molly) is the source of this 918-nucleotide long non-coding RNA. RefSeq lists it as uncharacterized. Lineage: Eukaryota; Metazoa; Chordata; Actinopteri; Cyprinodontiformes; Poeciliidae. The transcript has 2 exons. The record is from RefSeq and is a predicted model, not a curated record.
UUAUUAUUUUUCAGAAAACGAUCCGCCUGCAGUCAUUUCCACCGUGACGACAGAUGAAGUCAGUUAUGGACAGAUAAUCAUCAGAGAAACCAGGAAAAGAGAUUACAAACCAGAACCAAAAGUUGUUUAUUCCACCCUGAGGUAAUCCUCCAGCAGGAAGCCCCACUGGUCUAGUUAAAGCACAGAACCAUCAACUCCUGGUGAAUAAGUUUAUCUGUCUGAAGAACCAAAUGAAUGUAUUUAAUGUUUCAUUCUCAUGUUUCCAGUCACUGUUUUAUUUUAAAUGUCUGAACUGUUAAAACCUCAGCAGCUUCAGCCUGUUGAACCAGUUUAACAAGUUUAACCAGUUUAACAAGUUUAACCAGUUUAACCAGUUUAACCUGUGAAACCUGCGGUUCUGCAGCUUGUUGCUAACAAACAUGAUGUUCCUGUUUCUGUCUGCGGCUCGGCAGUGGAAACUUUUAUUUACAGCAGCAGGUGAGAAAAACUAAACCAAAACCGCAGAACAAACCUGUUAAAACAAACAAAAUCCCUGAGUGUGUGAAACCAAAGCAGAACCUUCAGGAUGUUUAUUGAUUAUAUAUAAAGAAAAUCUGCAAUAAACUGCAGUUAAUGUUAAAUUCACUGUUUCUGCAUUCAGAACAUAUUAGCUAAAUGCUAUGUGAGGUUUAUUCCUGUCAUAAUGAAGUCCAGUUGGUUCGGUUGGUUCUGGUUUCUCAUUCAGACCAAAGUUCAGCCAUCAGAGGAUUUAAACUGAAGAUAAUCUGCAGGUUGGUGACAUCAUCAGCUCUGCAGAUGCUAAAACAUGCUAACCUGAAUCAUGCUAAACUGAUUCAGGUUUAAUUUACUGAUUAAUUCUGAUUCGACGAGCUGAAGUUCUUCACUUUUAUUCUGCUUGUUUUAAUUUGAUAUAUUAAA